GAUGAAGAACGUAGUGAAUUGCGAUAAGUAAUGUGAAUUGCAGAUUUUCAGUGAAUCAUCGAAUCUUUGAACGCACCUUGCGCUCUUUGGUAUUCCGAAGAGCAUGCCUGUUUGAGUGUCAUGAAAAUAUCAACCUUGACUUGGGUUUUGUGCUCUAGUCUCGGCUUGGAAUUGGGUGCUUGCCGCUUUUACGAGCGGCUCACCUUAAAUGUAUUAGCUGGAUCUGUCUUUGAGACUUGGUUUGACUUGGCGUAAUAAGUAUUUCGCUAAGGACAUUCUUCGGAGUGGCCUCGUUUCUAGGACGCUUGUCCGCUUUCCAAUACAAGUUCCACCUCGUGGACAUGACUUUUUAUUAUCUGGCCUCAAAUCAGGUAGGACUACCCGCUGGACUUAAGCAUAUCAAUAAGCGGAGGA
This 414-nucleotide unclassified non-coding RNA is filed under the name soil metagenome. RNAcentral's name for it is "partial contains 5.8S ribosomal RNA, internal transcribed spacer 2, and large subunit ribosomal RNA". The stretch from base 1 to 121 matches the Rfam family "5.8S ribosomal RNA", at positions 35 to 154 of the family's 154-position model. The record is from RNAcentral.